CCGCCGGCGACCGGCGCACGGGUGAGUAACACGUAUGCAACCUGGCCGUGACAGAUGGAUAACCGGGAGAAAUCCCGCCUAAUACAACAUAAUGCCGGGAGGGGACAUCCCCUGCCGGCCAAAGGGGCGACCCCGGUCACGGAUGGGCAUGCGGCGCAUUAGGUAGUUGGUGGGGCAACGGCCCACCAGGCCGACGAUGCGUAGGGGUUCUGAGAGGAAGGUCCCCCACAUUGGAACUGAGACACGGUCCAAACUCCUACGGGAGGCAGCAG
RNAcentral lists this ribosomal RNA (272 nucleotides) under uncultured bacterium. RNAcentral's name for it is "partial 16S ribosomal RNA". It matches the Rfam family "Bacterial small subunit ribosomal RNA", at positions 85 to 354 of the family's 1533-position model. The record is from RNAcentral.